RNAcentral lists this ribosomal RNA (468 nucleotides) under uncultured bacterium. RNAcentral describes it as "partial 16S ribosomal RNA". It matches the Rfam family "Bacterial small subunit ribosomal RNA", at positions 28 to 507 of the family's 1533-position model. The record is from RNAcentral.
GACGAACGCUGGCGGCGUGCUUAACACAUGCAAGUCGAACGGAAAGGCCCUGCUUUUGUGGGGUGCUCGAGUGGCGAACGGGUGAGUAACACGUGAGUAACCUGCCCUUGACUUUGGGAUAACUUCAGGAAACUGGGGCUAAUACCGGAUAGGAGCUCCUGCUGCAUGGUGGGGGUUGGAAAGUUUCGGCGGUUGGGGAUGGACUCGCGGCUUAUCAGCUUGUUGGUGGGGUAGUGGCUUACCAAGGCUUUGACGGGUAGCCGGCCUGAGAGGGUGACCGGCCACAUUGGGACUGAGAUACGGCCCAGACUCCUACGGGAGGCAGGAGUGGAGAAUAUUGCACAAUGGGCGGAAGCCUGAUGCAGCAACGCCGCGUGCGGGAUGACGGCCUUCGGGUUGUAAACCGCUUUCGCCUGUGACGAAGCGUGAGUGACGGUAAUGGGUAAAGAAGCACCGGCUAACUACGUG